Molecule: transfer RNA, 55 nt
Filed under: Odontoschisma sp. He-Nygren 702
Lineage: Eukaryota; Viridiplantae; Streptophyta; Jungermanniopsida; Jungermanniales; Cephaloziaceae
Also listed under: 1 other name
Description: partial tRNA-Leu
Source: RNAcentral
GACUUAAAAUCCGUUGGCUUUUUAGACCGUGAGGGUUCAAGUCCCUCUACCCCUA